UCCGGCUUAACACCGGCAGUCUCCCUAGAGUCCCCAACUUAAUGAUGGUAACUAAGGACAGGGGUUGCGCUCGUUGCCGGACUUAACCGAACAUUUCACAACACGAGCUGACGACAGCCAUGCAGCACCUGUCUCCGUGCUCCCGAAGGAGAAACCUCAUCUCUGAGGCGGUCACAGGAUGUCAAGGCCAGGUAAGGUUCUUCGCGUUGCUUCGAAUUAAACCACAUACUCCACCGCUUGUGCGGGCCCCCGUCAAUUCCUUUGAGUUUUAGCCUUGCGACCGUACUCCCCAGGCGGGUUACUUAAUGCGUGAGCUUUGGUACUCAGCGGGUUAAUCCGCCAAACACCUAGUAACCAUCGUUUAAGGCAUGGACUAC
RNAcentral lists this unclassified non-coding RNA (377 nucleotides) under uncultured Oligoflexaceae bacterium. Its description in RNAcentral is "contains 16S-23S intergenic spacer region". The record is from RNAcentral. Lineage: Bacteria; Pseudomonadati; Bdellovibrionota; Oligoflexia; Oligoflexales; Oligoflexaceae.